This is a long non-coding RNA of Hemiscyllium ocellatum (epaulette shark), 1338 nucleotides long. RefSeq lists it as uncharacterized. NCBI's taxonomy places the organism in Eukaryota, Metazoa, Chordata, Chondrichthyes, Orectolobiformes, Hemiscylliidae. The record is from RefSeq and is a predicted model, not a curated record. The transcript is spliced from 3 exons.
CUGAGCGUCCCCAUUGGUGUGAGCGCGGAGUCUCCUGCGGGCUCUGCUGGUCACUAAAAUGUGUCUGACGGUGAGAACAUUGAGCAGCAGAAUCAGGAGAAAUGGGACACCCGGGGUUAGAAUGUGGUGGAGGAACUCGAUUGUGACCCCGACACUGGAGUAACGAACAGCGCCUGUUACAUCACAAAACCAGGGGGCGUUCCCCAGCCAAUACCGAGCCCUUCUGGCAACAAAUGGCCACAAACCGAUCAAAGGUGAAAGUGACGGUGAACCAGACAGAGCAGUCAGUGGCUGCAUAAAGCAGGACGGCGUGGAUAUUACACACGGGGACGGAGUACAGGAAAUAAAACUGUUCCUGAUAAACAAUGGGAAUGUGUCUCAGGAUCAGGUCGAGGAUAAUGACCAGGAGAUCCGCCGCUGCCAUGGCCCCCAGAAUCCCAGCAGUGUGGAAACAAGCCCUUCGGCCCAACAAGUACAUACCAACCUUCCAAAGAGUAACCUUCCCAUGGCCUUACAGUUACCACUGACUGAUGAACCUAAAGUAGAAAUCGCUGAACACUAUGGACUAUUUGACCAAUCCACUUGAAUUAUACAGCUUUGGGCUGUGGGAGGAAACGGGAGCACCCAUCAGAAGCUCACGCAGACAAGGGGAGAAGAUGCAAACUCCACGCAGAUAGUCGCCCGAGGCUGGAAUUGAACUCAUGUCCCUGAUGCUGUGAUGGAACAGUGUGAACUACUGAGCCACUGUGCUAACCUGGACCCUCCUGCCAGCCUAAUGCAAAGGGAAUUCAGCCAAAUCCAACUCUCCCAGGAUAAAAUCCCAUUGCUAGCAGCUGUGUGAGUACAAUAUCUUCAGAAGCAGAAUAACAUUUUGGACAAUCUCUCAAUUUUUCCUUUUGUCAUGAGUUCCAAUAAUAUCUGGACAAGUUUCUUUCAAUGUGAAAUUGCAGAGAUUUUGUUUAUUUUGUGUGUGUCUGUGUGUGUGUCUGUGUGUGUGUCUGUGUGUGUGUGUGUGUGUGUGUGUGUGUGUGUGUGUCAGUGUUUUUGGAACGGGAAAUAUUGAAUCUUUCUUUGCAAUACCAGACUUAUAGUCCAUCAAGUAAGCUAGCUGUGUUUCAGGAUGUCCAAGAAUGUAGGGAGGCUGUGGAGAAGGUAGCACUGACAGGGAAUACUUGUGGACACAGAGAUGGGCUCAAGUGCGUAUGCUUCAAGGCAAGAAGUAUCAGAAAUAAGGUGGGUGAACUUAAGGCGUGGAUCGGUACCUGGGACUACGAUGUUGUGGCCAUCGCGGAAACGUGGAUAGAUGAGGGACAGGAAUGGUUGUUGGAGGUUCCUGGU